RNAcentral lists this transfer RNA (72 nucleotides) under Paramuricea clavata. It matches the Rfam family "tRNA". From Rfam's summary of the family: Transfer RNA (tRNA) molecules are approximately 80 nucleotides in length. The record is from Rfam by way of RNAcentral. Lineage: Eukaryota; Metazoa; Cnidaria; Anthozoa; Malacalcyonacea; Plexauridae.
GCCGAAAUAGCUCCGAAGGGGAGCGUCAGACUGAAGAUCUGAAGGUCAUUGGUUCAAUCCCGGUUUUCGGCG